This 225-nucleotide long non-coding RNA is filed under the name Ictidomys tridecemlineatus (thirteen-lined ground squirrel). RNAcentral's name for it is "lncRNA (ENSSTOG00000032653.1)". The record is from RNAcentral. Lineage: Eukaryota; Metazoa; Chordata; Mammalia; Rodentia; Sciuridae.
GUCUCCUGGAGGCUUUGGAACUUACUGGGGAGAACUUGAGAGAAGUCUGCCAAUCCUAAUUCACAACACUUGUGCAAUCCUGGAUUCAAUUCUCCGGCACCUCCUAGUUGGAACCCAGUAAGCUGGGAGUGUGAGAGAAGGAGAGGAAGAGGUUAAUCCCUAAAGAAUGUUCCAGAUACUAUUACCAAAAGGUGAGGGAAAGGAUGAUGGACAUCAACAAACAUC